UACGAAGGGGGCUAGCGUUGCUCGGAAUCACUGGGCGUAAAGGGUGCGUAGGCGGGUCUUUUAAGUCAGGGGUGAAAUCCUGGAGCUCAACUCCAGAACUGCCUUUGAUACUGGAGAGCUUGAGUCCGGAAGAGGUGAGUGGAACUCCGAGUGUAGAGGUGAAAUUCGUAGAUAUUCGGAAGAACACCAGUGGCGAAGGCGGCUCACUGGUCCGGUACUGACGCUGAGGCGCGAAAGCGUGGGGAGCAAACAGG
This 254-nucleotide ribosomal RNA is filed under the name uncultured bacterium. RNAcentral's name for it is "partial 16S ribosomal RNA". It matches the Rfam family "Bacterial small subunit ribosomal RNA", at positions 524 to 776 of the family's 1533-position model. The record is from RNAcentral.